AAGCGGAGGAAAAGAAACUAACAAGGAUUCCCCUAGUAACGGCGAGUGAAGCGGGAUGAGCUCAAAUUUGAAAGCUGGCAGCAAUGUCCGCGUUGUAAUCUCGAGAAAUGUUUUCCGUGCUGGACCACGUACAAGUUCCUUGGAAUAGGAUGUCAUAGAGGGUGAAAAUCCCGUACUUGAUGUGGACGCCCAGUGCUUUGUGAUACAUUUUCGAAGAGUCGAGUUGUUUGGGAAUGCAGCUCAAAAUGGGUGGUAAAUUCCAUCUAAAGCUAAAUAUUGGGGAGAGACCGAUAGCGAACAAGUACCGUGAGGGAAAGAUGAAAAGCACUUUGGAAAGAGAGUUAAACAGUACGUGAAAUUGUCAAAAGGGAAGCAUUUGAAGUCAGACGUGUAUUGUAGUACUCAGCCUUGCUUUUGCUUGGUGUAUUUGCUAUAGUACAGGCCAACAUCAGUUUUGAGCGACGGAUAAGGGUAUGGGGAAUGUGGCACCUCCGGGUGUGUUAUAGCCCCGUACUGGAUACGUUGUUUGGGACUGAGGAACGCAGCGCGCCGUAAGGCAGACCCUCGGGUACUUUCGCGCUUAGGAUGUUGGCGUAAUGGCUUUAAGUGACCCGUCUUGAAACACGGACCAAGGAGUCUAACAUGUCUGCGAGUCUUUGGGUGGCAAACCCGUGGGCGCAAUGAAAGUGAAUGCAGGUGGGAUCCGCAAGGAGCACCAUCGACCGAUCCAGAUCUUCUGUGACGGAUUUGAGUAAGAGCAUAUAUGUUGGGACCCGAAAGAUGGUGAACUAUGCCUGAAUAGGGUGAAGCCAGAGGAAACUCUGGUGGAGGCUCGUAGCGGUUCUGACGUGCAAAUCGAUCGUCAAAUUUGGGUAUAGGGGCGAAAGACUAAUCGAACCAUCUAGUAGCUGGUU
Molecule: ribosomal RNA, 914 nt
Filed under: Arcticomyces warmingii
Lineage: Eukaryota; Fungi; Basidiomycota; Exobasidiomycetes; Exobasidiales; Exobasidiaceae
Description: partial large subunit ribosomal RNA
Rfam family: Eukaryotic large subunit ribosomal RNA
Source: RNAcentral